This 303-nucleotide ribosomal RNA is filed under the name uncultured bacterium. RNAcentral's name for it is "partial 16S ribosomal RNA". It matches the Rfam family "Bacterial small subunit ribosomal RNA", at positions 507 to 807 of the family's 1533-position model. The record is from RNAcentral.
AGCAGUAGCCACGGGAAUACGAAGGGGGCUAGCGUUGUUCGGAAUUACUGGGCGUAAAGCGCACGUAGGCGGAUAUUUAAGUCAGGGGUGAAAUCCCGCAGCUCAACUGCGGAACUGCCUUUGAUACUGGGUAUCUUGAGUAUGGAAGAGGUUAGUGGAAUUGCGAGUGUUGCGGUGAAAUGCGUAGAGAUCGGGAGGAACAUCAGUGGCGAAGGCGGCCAUCUGGGACAACACUGACGCUGAGGCACGAAAGCGUGGGGAGCAAACAGGAUUAGAUACCCGAGUAGUCCCUGUCUCUUAUAC